CAACAGCCCCAAAAAAAGCAAACAGAGGUGGAAAGAGUACAGAAAUAUUCGACUUAAGUAAAAGUACUAUUACUUU
Etheostoma spectabile (orangethroat darter) is the source of this 76-nucleotide long non-coding RNA. RefSeq lists it as uncharacterized. The transcript has 3 exons. The record is from RefSeq and is a predicted model, not a curated record. NCBI's taxonomy places the organism in Eukaryota, Metazoa, Chordata, Actinopteri, Perciformes, Percidae.